Homo sapiens (human) is the source of this 6885-nucleotide long non-coding RNA. RefSeq lists it as uncharacterized. Lineage: Eukaryota; Metazoa; Chordata; Mammalia; Primates; Hominidae. The transcript has 3 exons. The record is from RefSeq and is a predicted model, not a curated record.
UGGAAAAACUUGGAGCGAAAUGGAUGUGUGUCCCAAAGGAUAUUAGAUCCAAAUGUUCAAAAACACAAAUGGUGGGUUGUCUUAAGAAAAUUAUAGUGCCUGAAAAGAUUUGUUCCUGAGAAAAAGACCAUUCAGUCCUUAUUCAGCAGUGGAACAAAGAACCACAUUUGAGCAGGACUAAGAAAACAGCUUGGAUAUGCUUGAAACACAGGACAAAUAGGGGCUGGGGCUUCAGAGUUCAGAACCGUGAAGUGUGGCUGCAGUCAUGUUGGAAACAUUCUGAAUGAGGAGACUGAAGUACAGGAGACGUUACCUAACUUAUCCAAGGAUCCCACUGCGGAUGAAUACUGUGUUACAUUUAGUCACAGGAUCUCCUUAGGCUCUCCUUGACUGUGAUGGCUUCUCAGGCUUUCCUUGUUUUUGAUGAUCUUGACAAUAUUGAGGAGUACUAGUCAGGUACGUUGUAGGCUAAUCCUCUAUGGGAGUCUGUCUGAAGUUUCUCCCAUGAUUAGACUGAUGAGGUGAUGGGCUUUGGGGAGAAGCCCAACAGGGGUAAGGACUAUUUUAAUGACAUUGUGUCAGGGAUCCAUGCUAUCAACAUGACUUGUCACUGUUGAUGUUGACCUUGAGCACCUGGUUGAGGUGAUACUUCGCAGGUUUCUGUGACGUAAAUUUACUCAUUUUUCUCUUUUGUACUGUAGUUUUUUGGAAGAAAGUCACUGCCACACUUCCACACUACCACAGCCCACACUUAAGGAGUGGGAGUUAUGCUCCACCUCUUUGAGAGCUAUCUACCGAAAUUAUUUGAAAUUCUUCUGUACAGUAGAUUUGCUUCUUUUCCCCCAUUUAUUUACUUAUUCAGUCAUGUAUUUAUAUCAAUAUGCACUCAUGUAUAAUUAUUGUGCACUUUGGGUUGUAAUUCAAUGCGACUCUAUUUCAUUGCUCCAGCUGUGGCCGUGCAGAGCUCUUUUGUUUGGCUCUUGUGCCCUUUGCUGCACUCCCUUGCAGUAGUUUUGUUUGAGCACCUUCUUACUUUCUGGCACUACAAGAUGCUCUGGGCUCCUCUUAGGUAAUUGCUCUUCUGCCUUAGAAUCAACCAUUUUCCUAAGAAAUCAUGAAUCCUUUUACUGGAGAAUGGUUUUAGAAACCAAGAUAUGGGUAUGAGCUGUGCUCGUUGAAAUUGAGAUGUCCUUGCUUCUAGUGCUCUUAGCUGACACAGCAAGGAAAUAUAAAUAUGUAUAUAAUAACAUGUUUAUACACACAUAUAUAUUUAUAAAUAUUUUCAUGUCUUGUUUUGAGACAGGGUCUCACUCUGUUACUCAGGCUGAAGUGUAAUGGUGCAAUCAUAGCUCACUGCAGUCUCAACCUCCUGGGAUCAAGCAAUCCUCCCACCUCAGCCUCCUGAGUAGCUGAGACUGCAAGCACUCCACCAAGAUUGGUUAAUUUUUUAUUUUUAGUAGAGACAAGUUUGUGCUAUGUUGUCCAGAUUGGUCUUAAACUUCUGGCCUCAAGCGAUCCUUCUGCCUUGGCCUCCCAAAGUGUUGGGAUUAUAGGUGUGAGCCACCAUGCUUGACCUCAUAUGUCUGUAUUUUUGUAUCUGCAUCUUUAUUAAGUUAAACAUUAGUUCAUAUUGAUUUUUCCAACCAUAAUAUACUACCACGCAUGGGUCAUUUGCACUCUUCCUUUGCUUAUCUGUAAGGUCCACUUCAACAGUGAGAUGCACAGCUCCUCUUAUCUGUAUCCAGUAAAAUUAUCCUUCGAAAUUAAGGAGAAAUAAAAACUUUCUCAAACAAAAAGUAAAGCAACUCAUUACUGGCAAACCUGUCCUCCAACAAAUUCCUCAGGUGGAAGGAAAAUUAUAUAGGUGAGAAACUCAAAUCUACAUAAAGAAAGGAAGAGAGUUGGAGAAGAAAUAAAUGAAGGUAAAAGAAAAUCUUUUAUUUUUCUUAUUUUAAUUGGCCUAAAAGAUAUCUGUUUAAAGUGAAAAUAGUAACAAUUAUUGGAUGACUGUGGCAUACAAACAGUGAAAUAAAUGAGUGACAGUUGUCAUCUCACAUCAAGGCCAGGAUCUCCUUGACUGUGCCUGGAACGCCCUUGUUCUCCACAGAGAGCUGCCUCUACUAUCAUCCUCACAGCCUCUGAUACGCUCUGAGAGAACAAGGUGCAGGGCCUGUUCCCUGCUGGAGCUCUUCCCUGUAUGCACAUGUUUUUUCUGGGGACCAUUUGCCUAAUUCAUCUCAGAAAUGAGUGCUGGAACCCUCCACUGACUGCCAUUGAGUGAUUUGGGGUACAGCCCUCCAAGCUCUCAUAUAUGGCAGUUGCUGAAGGUGUGUAGAUUCCCUGUUUAACUCAGUUAAAGGGGUGGGGAUGACUGGCCCCAAAGAUGUUCUCCUGGAGGAGAUGGGGAAGGAGGGCCUGGCCUGCCACCCCGUACCAUCCACCAGCAUAAUGCUUUCUUAAUAGAUGGAGGAGGGGCCACAGGGAACUCCAAAGAUCUAUGAGCAAUAACAACACUUACCACAAAUUCCACACUCAUGUGGGUUUAGCCAUCUGGGGCUAUUACCUCUUACUCAACACUGAAGGCCAGAGUGAAAUGUCCCUGGAACCUGAAAACACAUGUUUCUUCUGAGACUCAGAAGAAAUAAAUGGAAGAAAUGUUUUCUCAUUUUUAGCAAUUGUUACAAGAAUUCUUUAUUCAGAAGGGACUUGGCUUUUUUGGGGAAAUGGUUUAAUAAGCCUAUUGAGGGGAUAGAAAUGAGCUUCCAGGACCUGGGUUUUGGGCCCAUGCCUAGUUUUCAUGAGGAAGAAAAAAGCUUCUCUGCCUAGUACAUGGGAGGGGAGGAAUGUGAUGUUCCUACAGAGACAAGUCCAGGAGGGAAGUGGAGAGAGAAGAAUCAAACCGCGUGGGAAGGCAUGAUUAAGAACAACAGGGCUCUGGAGUGACAGAAAAUCGAAAAAGGCCAAAGAGCAAUGUCUGAUUUUCCUUUUUUUUAUCACAAUGGGGUUGGAUGACGUAACACUUCUCUGCCAUUGCCUUGACAAAAUUGUUCCUGCUUUUGGACAUGUGGAUUGCGGCUGGGGAAUUAUGAAGCCAAAAGGGAACUCCAGGCAGCAGCAGGCUGUGUCUGUGUGGUUGAUGAGAUGAGCUCUCUGCAGGAGUCACUAGGUAGAGCAGGUGGGUUUUUCUUUUGUUCCUCUCUCAAGGCAGGAUGAGUGAAGCCUAGAAGUCACCUAAGUCUUGACUGAAAAGGAGCUGUGACAAUCAUCAACGUAUCUGAGUUAACGAAAGCGUGAAAACCUCACAGUACCAGCAUGCCCCUGUGUUUAGAAGAGCUGGCUAAACUUUCUCUGGCUUCAAGAAAAAGCACAAUUGACUAAUUUGUCCAUUCUGGAAGUCUGUAUUCAUGGUCCUGUAAAUAGAAUAGACCCAUCCAGAAAAGCCCUUGGAGAGAAGAGAGCCAGAGAAAGCCAAUAUUUCAGAAUGAAUGGUUCUGUUUGAAGAGCUUUGUAUGGCAAAUGAGGGUUAAAAAUUUUUCCCCACCUUUCCUUUACAGCAGUGAUUUUUGAGGUGUGGAUUUUUAACAGCUGCAGCAGCAGCAUCACCUGGAACCUGCUGGCAUUGCAAAUUAUUGGGCUCCAUUCCAGACCCACUGAGUCAGAAAGCCUGGGUAUGGGGUCCAGAGAUCUGUUAUAGAACAAGUUCUUCCAGUGCAAGCUAAAGUUUGAGAACAAUUGCUCUAAAGCAGAGGAUCUUAAAUUGAAUUCAGGGAUUUGUGAAACCAAUGGGAAAAAAAUAUAUACCGUUAUUUUUACCACCAUUUAACUGAAAGUUAGCAUUUCCUUCUGUUGUGAACACAGUCCGAAAAGCACAGUAGGAUUGACAGCACUGGGGCUUUUUCGCCAACAGAAACCUUUUUAUAGCAGCUUUAUUCAGAUAUAAUUUGCAUAUAAUACAAUUCGUCCAUUUAAAAUGUAUAAUUCAAUAGUUUUUAAUACAAUUACAAAAUUAUGCACUAAGCACCUGUAAUGGUUAAUUUUGUGUGUCAACUUGACUAAGCCAAGGAAUGCCCAGAUAGCUGGUAAAAACCUUAUUUCUGGGUGUGUGUGGGGGUGUUUCCAGAAGAAAUUAGACUUUGAAUUGGUGGACAAAGUGAAGAAGACUCACUGUCACCAUAAUAGGUAGUCAUCAUUUGAAUCUGUUGGGGCUUAAAUAGAACAAAAACAGAGAGAAAGAGAAAGAUCAAAUUUUCUUCGUGAGCUGAGACAUCCAUCUUCUUCUGCCCUCAAGUAUCUAAGCUCUGGCUCUGGGGCCUUCAGACUCCUGGACUUACAACAGUGGCCUUCCAUCCCCCAGCUCCCCACCCUGCUUCUCAAGCCUUCAAAUUAGUAUGGAAUUAAACGUCAGCUUUUCUGAGUCUCCAGGUUAUACUGCAGAUUCUGAGACUUCUCAGCCUCCAUAAUCUUAUGAGCCAAUUCCCACAAUAAAUAUCUCUAUAUCUCUGUCUCUCUUUAUAUAUAUAUAAAUAUUUAUUAUAUUCAGAUAUAUAUAGGAAAAAACAUAUACCAUUAAUUUUACUAACAUUUUACUGAAAGUUAGCAUUUUCUUCUGUUGUGAACAUAGCCCAGAAAGCACAGUAAAAUUGACAACACUGGGGCAUCAAUCAAUCAGUCAAUCAACCAAUCAUCAAUACACCAAUCAUCAAUCAUCUAGCUAUCAAUCUCUAUCUACCUGUCUAUCUAUCUAUCUAUCUAUCCAUCUAUCUAUCUAUCUAUCAUCUAUCCAUCUAUCUCUAUCAUCUAUAUCUCCUAUUGGUUCUGUUUCUCUGUAGAAUGCUAACACAGGACCACAAUCAAACUUGAACAUUGUCCUCACCACAAAAGGAAACUUCAUGUCUAUUGCCAUGCUCCAUCAUCCCCCUCCCCUACUUUAAGCAGCCACUUAUCUACUUUCCAUCUUUUUAGAUUUGAGGAUUCUGAACAUGUCAUAUAAAUAAAUAGAAUUAUAUAAUACAUGAUAUUUUGUAAUUGACUUUUCCACUUAGCAUAAUGCUUUAAAGUUCAUCCAUGUUGUUGCAUGUAUCAGUAUGUCAUUUCUUUUUUUUUGUCAAGUAAUAUUUCACUGUAUGGAUAUCUAACAUUUUAUGUAUCUAUUCAUUAAUUGAUGGACAUUUGGAUUGUUUCUACUUUUUGGCUAUUGUGAAUAAAGUUGCCAUUAAAAAUGUCUGUAUAAUACAAGUUUUUGUGUAAUCAUAUGUUUUUAUUUCUCUUCAUGUUUAACGAUUUGAGGAGCUGCCAGACUGUUUUGAAAAGUGGCUGCACUGUAUUACAUUUCCACCAGCAAUGUAUGAAGGCUCAAAAUUUUCCGCAUCUUCAUCAACACAUUGUUUUCCGACUUUCUAAAAUUACAACCAUCCUAAUAUGUGGAGUAGUAUCUCAUUGUGGUUUUGAUUUGCAUUUCCUUGAUCACUAAUGAUGUUGAGCAUACUGUCAUAAGUUUAUUGCCUAUUUAUAUAUCUUCUUUAAAGAAAUUUAUAUUAAGAUUCUUUGACCACGUUUAAUUGGGCUUUUUUUAUUACUGAGUUGUAAGAGUUCUUUGUUUAUUCCAGGUACAAGUAACCUAUUAUAUACAUAAUUUGCAAAUAUUUUCUGUCAUUCUGUGGAUUGCAUUUUUACUUUUUAAUAUUACCCUUUGAAGCACGAAAGUUUCUAAGUUUGUUAGAGUUCAAUUUACUUAUUUUUAGUUUGUUGCUUGUGGUUUGGUAUCUUACAUAAGAAAUCAUUUCCUAAUCCAAGGUGACAAAAAUUGAUGUCUAUGCUUUCUUCUAACAUUUUAUAGAAUUAAGCCUUACGUUUAGGUCUUUCAUUCAUUUUGAGUUAAAUUUUGAAUAUGGUGUGAGAUAGGGAUCCAACUUUAUUCUUUUUCAUGUGGAUAUCUAGUUGUCCCAACACCAUUUGAAGAGACGAUUCUUUUCACAAUAAAUUGUCUUAGCAUCUUUGAUGAAAAUCAGUUGUACAUAAAGGUGAGAGUUUAUUUCUGGUCUCUCAGUUCUGUUCUAGUGAUCUUUAUGUCUAUCUGUAUGUUAGUACCACACUGUCUUUAUUAUUAUAGCUUUGUAAUAAGUUGUGAAGUUGGGAAGUGCGAGUCCUCCAACAUUUUUCUCCUUUGUAAAAACUAUUUUGGCUAUCCUGCAUUCCAGGUAUUUUGAUAUGGAUUUUAUUAGAAGCUUGUCAAGUUCUGCAAAAUAGGCAACUGGAAUUUUAAUGGGGAUUGCAUUGAAUCUGUAGAUUGUUUUUGGUAGUAUCUUAACAAAACUUAACAAUAUUAAAUCUUGCAAUCCAUAAACAUAGGAUGUCUUCCCAUUUAUUUAGAGAUUUGGAAAUUUUUUUCAAUAAUGCUUGUUGUUUUCAGAGUAUAAGUUUGCACUUCUUUUGUUUAUUUGAUUCCUGUAUAUUCCUGUAAGGUCUAUACAUCCCACUUGAAGUUGUACAACAUUGAUUAAAAAUAGAUUUUUAAACAUUAAAUAUGUCUACUGUAAUCCUUAGAGCAACCACAAAAACAAACAAACAGAGAAACAAAACUGAAACAAAACAAAGAGGUAUGGUCAAAAUACAACAGAUAAAUAAAAAUGGAAUAUUUUAAAAAUGUUCAACUAUCCCAAAAGAAAGCUGGAAAGAGGAACAAAGAAAUGGAAAGCAGAGGUAAUACACAGAAAUAAAAUAUAAAAUGGUAAACCUAAAUCCAAACAUAUCAAUAAUUACAUCAAAUGUAAAGUGUCUAAGCAUCCAAUUAAGACACAUAGAUUUUCAGAAUGAAUAAACAAACAUAUGACCCAAUUAUAUGCUGUCUAUAAUGAUAAUGAUACAAGCAGAUUAAAAGUAAAAGAA